This 253-nucleotide ribosomal RNA is filed under the name uncultured bacterium. Its description in RNAcentral is "partial 16S ribosomal RNA". It matches the Rfam family "Bacterial small subunit ribosomal RNA", at positions 524 to 776 of the family's 1533-position model. The record is from RNAcentral.
UACGUAGGUGGCAAGCGUUGUUCGGAAUUAUUGGGCGUAAAGGGCGCGUAGACGGUUAUUUAAGUCGGAUGUGAAAGCCCCGGGCUCAACCUGGGAAUUGCAUUCGAGACUGAAUAGCUAGGGUACGGUAGAGGGAAGCGGAAUUUCCGGUGUAGCGGUGAAAUGCGUAGAGAUCGGGAGGAAUACCGGUGGCGAAAGCGACUCUCUGGACGGCAACUGACGCUGAGGCACGAAAGCGUGGGGAGCAAACAGG